This 85-nucleotide transfer RNA is filed under the name Acinetobacter baumannii UH9007. RNAcentral's name for it is "tRNA-Leu". It matches the Rfam family "tRNA". From Rfam's summary of the family: Transfer RNA (tRNA) molecules are approximately 80 nucleotides in length. Lineage: Bacteria; Pseudomonadati; Pseudomonadota; Gammaproteobacteria; Moraxellales; Moraxellaceae. The record is from RNAcentral.
GGGGGCGUGGCGAAAUUGGUAGACGCACUGGAUUUAGGUUCCAGCGCCGCAAGGUGUAAGAGUUCGAGUCUCUUCGCCACCACCA